AACGAACGCUGGCGGCAUGCCUAACACAUGCAAGUCGAACGAGACCUUCGGGUCUAGUGGCGCACGGGUGCGUAACACGUGGGAAUUUGCCUCGGGGUAUGGAAUAACUCAGGGAAACUUGAGCUAAUACCAUAUAAUGUCUUCGGACCAAAGAUUUAUCGCCCUGAGAUAAGCCCGCGUAGGAUUAGCUAGUUGGUGAGGUAAAGGCUCACCAAAGGCGACGAUCCUUAGCUGGUCUGAGAGGAUGAUCAGCCACACUGGGACUGAGACACGGCCCAGACUCCUACGGGAGGCAGCAGUGGGGAAUAUUGGGACAAUGGGCGAAAGACCUGAUCCAGCAAUGCCGCGUGAGUGAUGAAGGCCUCGGUG
RNAcentral lists this ribosomal RNA (369 nucleotides) under uncultured bacterium. RNAcentral's name for it is "bacterial SSU rRNA". It matches the Rfam family "Bacterial small subunit ribosomal RNA", at positions 29 to 422 of the family's 1533-position model. The record is from RNAcentral.